This 645-nucleotide long non-coding RNA is filed under the name Homo sapiens (human). RNAcentral describes it as "HSALNT0304693". Lineage: Eukaryota; Metazoa; Chordata; Mammalia; Primates; Hominidae. The record is from RNAcentral.
GCCAUCCCAGCUCCCAAAGGUCUGAUUACUGACUGGCUCAUCCACUGUCCCCAUUUUGAGGUCCCUGCUGGAACUGGCCCUAGGGAGAGAGGCACGAGCAAACACAUCACUCAGUCCCCUCCUUCACUUAGUGACAGAGCAAGUUCUGGAUUUUUCACAACAGUCCUUUUUUCAGGAAUGUUUGAUGUCGGGGAGACUGCGCCUUUAAAAUCCUCUGAGGAAAGAAGAUUUCUAUAAAAGUUUUCUCCCAUAAAUAUUUUAUGUUUCACUGAAUUACUAUGAACAGAAAUUCCGUGAUGGAAGAGAAGUGCCUUCUCUGCCCCCACACCAACCAAAGGCCCAUUUCCAAACUCAUGGCCAUGCUCUGCCACCUGGGAAACUGGCCACCGAAGCCCCUCUUCAGGAUUUAGUUGCCUUCAAACCCUUCUAUCACAUUUUAGAAUUACUCUUCCGAUUGAUUUGUGCUAUCUGGCUGCUGUAAUUUUGAAUAAACAAGCCCGAAUAUUUGGUUAAAAUGCCUAAGUCACCUGAGUUGCAAAAAAUACAGCCAGACUGAUUUCAUGACUUGUGCAUAAGACACCCAAUAUAUAUUCAUUAGGUAUAUAUUCUAUCAAUAUUAAAUAUGUAUUAAUUUUAAUAUACUAA